Molecule: ribosomal RNA, 438 nt
Filed under: uncultured bacterium
Lineage: Bacteria
Description: partial 16S ribosomal RNA
Rfam family: Bacterial small subunit ribosomal RNA
Source: RNAcentral
CUACGGGAGGCACCAGCGAGGAAUAUUGCACAAUGGGGGGAACCCUGAUGCAGCAACGCCGCGUGGAGGAUGACGCAUUUCGGUGUGUAAACUCCUUUUAUAUGUCAAGAAAAUGACGGUAGCAUAUGAAUAAGCACCGGCUAACUCCGUGCCAGCAGCCGCGGUAAUACGGAGGGUGCAAGCGUACUCGGAAUCACUGGGCGUAAAGGACGCGUAGGCGGGUUGGAAAGUCAGGUGUGAAAUCCUACAGCUUAACUGUAGAACUGCACUUGAAACUUCUAAUCUAGAGUAUGGGAGGGGGAGAUGGAAUUAGUGGUGUAGGGGUAAAAUCCGUAGAUAUCACUAGGAAUACCUAAAGCGAAGGCGAUCUCCUGGAACAUUACUGACGCUAAGGCGUGAAAGCGUGGGGAGCAAACAGGAUUAGAUACCCCCGUAGUC